CCUAAUCUACAAAUAAGAUUGUAGGUGUAUCCAGGUUUAAUUACCUGAUGUGUUUUCACUUUCAUUUCCUCUCUGCUGUUUAGGCAUUUGCAGUCACAGCAACAGGAAGUGUAUAAUAAGACCAGAGAAAGCCGUGGAAGAAUUCUCCCAUCCUCUGAGUUAGUGGAGUAUUGACCACUGAACAAAAUGCCAGACAGAAUGCAGUUCUUCAGAGCUUGGAAAAAGCAUUAUAAUAUUUUCUGUAAUUAUAUUUUUCCUGAGCUUGAUCAUCCAGCCUUCCUUCAUUCCCUGGGCUCGCUGCAUGAAGAAAAACUCAGUUUUGGAGUAAAUGAAGGAAACAACACUCACAAGACAAGACAGAACACAGCAACAGGAUCACCGACUGAUACGUACAUACUCUCCCAGGUUUGGGGGAUGUUUGUUCUUACUAUUCUUGUYGUUGGUUAUGGCCUGUACACUGUAUACCCAUUUUGGUUCUGCUGUAAUGAUGAAGAAGGACAUAGGAGAAACGAGCUGGAGCUCCCAUUAGAGGAAAGACCACAGGAAUUCAGCGAACACCUCUUGGAAUGACCUUGUGUGAGAGGAUGGUGACACAUGUUUGGGUGGGACAUUAAAGCUGGGCUGGAAAAAUACCCUGCUCUCACUGUUCUUUCCAUAGCAUGGCUCUAGUUCAUAAAUUGUCUCCUG
This 687-nucleotide long non-coding RNA is filed under the name Apteryx owenii (little spotted kiwi). Its description in RNAcentral is "lncRNA (ENSAOWG00000019219.1)". Lineage: Eukaryota; Metazoa; Chordata; Aves; Apterygiformes; Apterygidae. The record is from RNAcentral.